Molecule: ribosomal RNA, 253 nt
Filed under: uncultured bacterium
Lineage: Bacteria
Description: partial 16S ribosomal RNA
Rfam family: Bacterial small subunit ribosomal RNA
Source: RNAcentral
UAUGAACCGUCCAAACGUUAUUCGGAUUUACUGGGCUUAAAGGGUGCGUAGGCGGCUCAGAAAGUAGGGUGUGAAAGCCCUCGGCUCAACCGAGGAAUUGCGCUCUAAACUACUGGGCUCGAGGAACGCGGAGGUAAGCGGAACUUAGGGUGGAGCGGUGAAAUGCGUUGAUAUCCUAAGGAACACCAGGAGCGAGAGCGGCUUACUGGGCGUUUUCUGACGCUGAUGCACGAAAGCUAGGGGAGCGAACGGG